Molecule: ribosomal RNA, 1593 nt
Filed under: Triticum aestivum (bread wheat)
Lineage: Eukaryota; Viridiplantae; Streptophyta; Magnoliopsida; Poales; Poaceae
Description: partial small subunit ribosomal RNA
Source: RNAcentral
AUGGGCGCUCCCGUCGCGAUAAAUGGGCCUAUCGGCGAGCGAGCCAUCACUUGCUCACACUCACAGUGGAGCACUGGAGCAGCAGAACAGAGCGAGCGAGUGAGAGCAGAGAGCAUGGGCUCAAUGGCGGCCAGCGUGGAGGAGAUCGGUGCGGCGGCGGCGCCACAGGCGGUGGAGCGCCGCCUGGGCGAGCUGCGGGCGACCUUCGAGAGCGGCAGGACCCGGCCCCUGUCGUGGCGGCAGUCCCAGCUGCGCGGCCUCCUCCGGCUCCUCGCCGACAAGGAGGAGGAGGCGUUCCGCGCGCUCCACGACGACCUCGGCAAGCACCGCGCCGAGGCCUACAGAGACGAGGUCGGCGUGCUCACCAAGUCGGCCAACGCCGCGCUGCGGGAGAUCGGGAAAUGGGCGGCGCCGGAGAAGGUCUGGGUGCCGCUGGUGGCGUUCCCGGCGAGCGCGCAGGUGGUGCCGGAGCCGCUCGGGGUCGUCCUCAUCUUCUCCUGCUGGAACUUCCCCUUGGGUCUGUCUCUGGAGCCGCUGAUCGGGGCCAUAGCGGCGGGGAACGCGGUGGCGCUGAAGCCGUCGGAGCUGGCGCCGGCCACGGCCAGGUUCCUGGAGGAGAACAUAGGCGAGUACCUGGACGCCACGGCGGUGAAGGUCAUCCAGGGCGGCCCCGCGGUGGGGGAGCAGCUCAUGGAGCACAGAUGGGACAAGGUCCUCUUCACCGGGUGCCCGCGCGUGGCGCGCGUGGUGAUGGCGGCGGCGGUGAAGCACCUGACGCCCGUGGCGCUGGAGCUGGGCGGGAAGUGCCCCUGCAUCUUCGACGCCGUUGCCGGCAGGAGGAACCUCCAGACCUCGGUGAACCGCGUGAUCUUCGCCAAGUGGUCGUCCUGCGCCGGCCAGGCCUGCAUCGCCAUCGACUACGUGCUCGUCGAGGAGCGGUUUGCGCCCACCCUGAUCAAGUUGCUCAAGUCGACGCUGAAGAGGUUCAUCGCCGACUCGGACCAGAUGGCGCGGAUCGUCAACGGGCGGCAUUUCCAGCGUCUGAGUAACCUCCUCAAGGACCCGGCGGUGGCGGCGUCCAUCCUGCACGGCGGCGGCUUGGACGCCAAGAACCUGUCCAUCGAGCCCACGAUACUGCUGAACCCGCCGCUGGACUCCGCGAUCAUGACCGAGGAGAUCUUCGGCCCUCUGCUCCCCAUCAUCACGGUGAAGAAGAUCGAGGACAGCAUCGCGUUCGUGAGGGCGCGGCCGAAGCCGCUGGCCGUGUACGCCUUCACCGACAGCGCGCCGCUGAAGCGGCGGAUCGUGGAGGAGACGUCGUCGGGGAGCGUCACCUUCAACGACGCCGUCGUACAGUUCGGGGUGGACACGCUGCCGUUCGGGGGUGUGGGGCAGAGCGGGUUCGGGCAGUACCACGGCAAGUACUCGUUCGAGAUGUUCAGCCACAAGAAGGCGGUGCUGCGGCGGGGCUUCCUGGUGGAGGCCAUGCUGAGGUACCCGCCGUGGGACGAGCAGAAGAUCGCCAUGAUGCGCCACCUCUUCCGCUACGACUACGUCCGCUUCAUCUUCACCUUCCUCGGCCUGCGGAGAUGA